GAUGAACGCUGGCGGCGUGCCUAAUACAUGCAAGUCGAGCGAACGGACGAGAAGCUUGCUUCUCUGAUGUUAGCGGCGGACGUGUGAGUAACACGUGGAUAACCUACCUAUAAGACUGGGAUAACUUCGGGAAACCGGAGCUAAUACCGGAUAAUAUUUUGAACCGCAUGGUUCAAAAGUGAAAGACGGUCUUGCUGUCACUUAUAGAUGGAUCCGCGCUGCAUUAGCUAGUUGGUAAGGUAACGGCUUACCAAGGCAACGAUGCAUAGCCGACCUGAGAGGGUGAUCGGCCACACUGGAACUGAGACACGGUCCAGACUCCUACGGGAGGCAGCAGUAGGGAAUCUUCCGCAAUGGGCGAAAGCCUGACGGAGCAACGCCGCGUGAGUGAUGAAGGUCUUCGGAUCGUAAAACUCUGUUAUUAGGGAAGAACAUAUGUGUAAGUAACUGUGCACAUAUUGACGGUACCUAAUCAGAAAGCCACGGCUAACUACGUG
This 497-nucleotide ribosomal RNA is filed under the name uncultured bacterium. RNAcentral's name for it is "partial 16S ribosomal RNA". It matches the Rfam family "Bacterial small subunit ribosomal RNA", at positions 28 to 507 of the family's 1533-position model. The record is from RNAcentral.